RNAcentral lists this ribosomal RNA (484 nucleotides) under uncultured bacterium. RNAcentral's name for it is "partial 16S ribosomal RNA". It matches the Rfam family "Bacterial small subunit ribosomal RNA", at positions 29 to 507 of the family's 1533-position model. The record is from RNAcentral.
AUUGAACGCUGGCGGCAUGCUUUACACAUGCAAGUCGAACGGCAGCGCGGGCUUCGGCCUGGCGGCGAGUGGCGAACGGGUGAGUAAUACAUCGGAACGUGCCCAGUAGUGGGGGAUAGCUCGGCGAAAGCCGGAUUAAUACCGCAUACGACCUGAGGGUGAAAGCGGGGGAUCUUCGGACCUCGCGCUAUUGGAGCGGCCGAUGGCAGAUUAGCUAGUUGGUGGGGUAAAGGCCUACCAAGGCGACGAUCUGUAGCUGGUCUGAGAGGACGACCAGCCACACUGGGACUGAGACACGGCCCAGACUCCUACGGGAGGCAGCAGUGGGGAAUUUUGGACAAUGGGCGAAAGCCUGAUCCAGCAAUGCCGCGUGUGUGAUGAAGGCCUUCGGGUUGUAAAGCACUUUUGGCGGGAACGAAAAGGACUGUGCCAAUACCACGGUUCGAUGACGGUACCCGCAGAAUAAGCACCGGCUUACUACGUG